RNAcentral lists this ribosomal RNA (433 nucleotides) under uncultured bacterium. RNAcentral describes it as "partial 16S ribosomal RNA". It matches the Rfam family "Bacterial small subunit ribosomal RNA", at positions 29 to 507 of the family's 1533-position model. The record is from RNAcentral.
AACGAACGCUGGCGGCAGGCCUAACACAUGCAAGUCGAGCGAGGACUUCGGUCCUAGCGGCGGACGGGUGAGAAACGCGUGGGAACGUGCCCUUUGCUUCGGAAUAGCCCUGGGAAACUGGGAGUAAUACCGGAUGAGUCCUUUGGGGGAAAGAUUUAUCGGCGAAGGAUCGGCCCGCGUUGGAUUAGGUAGUUGGUGGGGUAAUGGCCUGCCAAGCCGACGAUCCAUAGCUGGUUUGAGAGGAUGAUCAGCCACACUGGGACUGGGACACGGCCCAGACUCGUACGAGAGGCAGCAGUGGGGAAUCUUAGACAAGGGGGGAAACCCUGAUCUGGCCAUGCCGCGUGAGCGAUGAAGGCCUUAGGGUUGUAAAGCUCUAUCAGCUGGGAAGAUAAUGACGGUACCAGCAGAAGAAGCCCCGGCUAACUCCGUG